AAGUCGUAACAAGGUUUCCGUAGGUGAACCUGCGGAAGGAUCAUUAGCGAAGUUCGGAAUGCAUGUUCGGUGUUGAUGCUGCCCAGCAAUGGGAUGUGCUCGCUCGGAUGUGUGUCCCUUCUCUAUCCACCCCACUGUGAACCAAGUGUGUGAGCCGAAGAGAAAUCGGACGCUCGCAUGCAAACCUUUAACAUACCCCAAUUAAGUAUCAGAAUGUACCUUGCGUUAACUCGCACAAAUAUAACUUUCAACAACGGAUCUCUUGGCUCUC
RNAcentral lists this unclassified non-coding RNA (271 nucleotides) under Peniophora albobadia. RNAcentral's name for it is "partial internal transcribed spacer region". The stretch from base 1 to 46 matches the Rfam family "Eukaryotic small subunit ribosomal RNA", at positions 1786 to 1831 of the family's 1831-position model. The record is from RNAcentral. Lineage: Eukaryota; Fungi; Basidiomycota; Agaricomycetes; Russulales; Peniophoraceae.